This 430-nucleotide long non-coding RNA is filed under the name Homo sapiens (human). Its description in RNAcentral is "non-protein coding lnc-IGSF1-5:1". Lineage: Eukaryota; Metazoa; Chordata; Mammalia; Primates; Hominidae. The record is from RNAcentral.
AUGGCGGUGGUGGUAGCUGCUAAGGCGCUGAAGGGCCGGGGGGAUGGAGGGCAAGAAAUGCCCGCGUCCUCCGGGGGAUUCUCGCAGGAGCCACAGCUAACAAGGCUUCCCAUAACAGGACCCAGGCACUGCAAACCCACAGCUCCCAAGAAGGCAGGGAGGAACCUGAACUCCUAUCCCCCGAGAUGUAAUACAUUCCCAGAAAGAGGGGCAAGAACCCCAUGAAAGCUGUGGGACUGGCCUGGGCCAUCGGCUUCCCUUGUGGUAUCCUUCUCUUCAUCCUCACCAAGCAGGAAGUGGACAAGGACCGUGUGAAACAGAUGAGGGCUCGGCAGAACAUGCGGGUGUCCAACACUGGCGAGUAUGAGAGCCAGAGGUUCAGGGCCUCCUCCCAACGUGCCCCGUCCACUGUUGUUGGGUCUGGACUGCA